GGCGAGAUGGCCGAGCGGUCUAAGGCGCCAGACUAAGGCGGACACCUCACCGGUGUUCGGUUAUCUGGUCCUCACGGGCGUGGGUUCGAAUCCCACUCUCGUCA
Cubamyces sp. BRFM 1775 is the source of this 104-nucleotide non-coding RNA. NCBI's taxonomy places the organism in Eukaryota, Fungi, Basidiomycota, Agaricomycetes, Polyporales, Polyporaceae. The record is from the annotation of a GenBank genome assembly.